GAUGAAGAACGCAGCGAAAUGCGAUAAGUAAUGUGAAUUGCAGAAUUCAGUGAAUCAUCGAAUCUUUGAACGCACAUUGCGCCCGCCAGUAUUCUGGCGGGCAUGCCUGUUCGAGCAUCAUUUCAACCAUCAAGCCCCCGGGCUUGUGUUGGGGACCUGCGGCUGCCGCAGGCCCUGAAAAGCAGUGGCGGGCUCGCUGUCACACCGAGCGUAGUAGAUUUUAUCUCGCUCUGGGCGUGCUGCGGGUUCCGGCCGUUAAACCACCCUUUUAACCCAAGGUUGACCUCGGAUCAGGUAGGAAGACCCGCUGAACUUAAGCAUAUCAAUAAGCGGAGGA
This 337-nucleotide unclassified non-coding RNA is filed under the name soil metagenome. RNAcentral's name for it is "partial contains 5.8S ribosomal RNA, internal transcribed spacer 2, and large subunit ribosomal RNA". The stretch from base 1 to 120 matches the Rfam family "5.8S ribosomal RNA", at positions 35 to 154 of the family's 154-position model. The record is from RNAcentral.